Molecule: small RNA, 684 nt
Filed under: Mycoplasmoides pneumoniae M129
Lineage: Bacteria; Bacillati; Mycoplasmatota; Mycoplasmoidales; Mycoplasmoidaceae
Description: Mycoplasma pneumoniae M129 ncRNA
Source: RNAcentral
AACAAGCCAAUCCCCAAGGAAAAGCUUGUUGCUUUUUUAUUAAGAAAUAUGCUUUACUACGACGACGAGGAUGAAUAUGACACUUCUAAUUCUGGUGGUGUCGUAGAUUUAGCAUUUUUAGCACUAAUAGUAGUUUUUCUAUUUACCGCUUUUAUUUCUUGGUUUGGGGCAUGAACUUGCUACAAAACAAGGCGUUUUUGAAAGGUAAUUAAUAAACCCAUUAAUGUAAUAGCAACAGCUUUCUUUAAUUUGGGGAACCUUACUUUUUCUUUGUAGCAUUAACUUUUCUACUAGGAAAUAUACAAGCAUUUACUCAUGCUAAUUACAAACAUCCUAAUAGUAGUAGCACAGAACUUCAGGGAAUAGCAAUUAAUAUUGCCUUAAUUGUUGGCAUCAUUAAUUUACCUUUAUUUAUAUUCUUCCGAAUAAUGCUGAAAAGUACUCAUAAUUUCUUAGACAAAAACAUUCCACUACGAAAGAAAUGAAUUGAAGAAAAGAUUGCUAGUGAUGAAUUGGAAGGAUGAGAAUACACCCAAAUUUAUCCUUUCCUAAGAAAGCUUUCUAGAAGAAAGCGUUACCAUUUUCUAAGAGCCUUAGAAAAUGGUGAUAAACCAACUUCUGUUUUAACAGAUAGAGAAAAUCAAUUGUCUGAAAAUCAAAUAAGUCAAGCACAUGCUUAGUAAA